Long non-coding RNA from Mytilus trossulus (common blue mussel), 144 nucleotides. RefSeq lists it as uncharacterized. NCBI's taxonomy places the organism in Eukaryota, Metazoa, Mollusca, Bivalvia, Mytilida, Mytilidae. The record is from RefSeq and is a predicted model, not a curated record. The transcript has 3 exons.
AUGUAGUUGACCAUUGUAAGCCUGACCCAUGUCUGCAUUCAGGGUGGUGCGUGAACACACCAAACGGUUAUUCAUGUCAAUGUACAUCAAGAUAUACAGGAAAGAACUGUCAAACAUUUGUCACAACCUCGACGACCCAAUCUA